CUAAAUACAAUGACGAAAACCUAGUAGCUUGCGUUUCCUUUUAAGAGAGUUGGUGGUCGCUGCAAACCAAUAAGGAACCCUUGUGAAUCCAGUUUUGUAAUACGUCGCCUUACUAAUCCAAGGCCGGUGGUCUCCCGUUACGAGACAUCAAGGGCGGCAUUUUUGCCGAACUUGGGUGGUACCGCGAAAUCAAACUAUUUCGUCCCAAGC
RNAcentral lists this non-coding RNA (210 nucleotides) under Enterococcus asini. Its description in RNAcentral is "T-box sequence". It matches the Rfam family "T-box leader". Rfam says of the family: Uncharged tRNA acts as the effector for transcription antitermination of genes in the T-box leader family. The record is from RNAcentral. Lineage: Bacteria; Bacillati; Bacillota; Bacilli; Lactobacillales; Enterococcaceae.